Molecule: non-coding RNA, 830 nt
Organism: Paramisgurnus dabryanus
Lineage: Eukaryota; Metazoa; Chordata; Actinopteri; Cypriniformes; Cobitidae
Source: RefSeq, a predicted model, not a curated record
UCCGGUGGAGCAUCCGACCCAAAGGGCGAAGUCCUGGGACUUAGUGCGCCGGAGCUACGGCGUUUAAAGGCCAGGCGGUGGUACGCCGUAUAUCGCCCGGGCUUGGGGUUAUAGAGAAGCGGGUUGGCUCGUUGGAAAGGGCCGCUCCGGUAGAGCAACCGACCCGAGGGACGAGUUUAUCCGAGCAAAGGCGCCCGAGUUACCAGGGGCGUCGCACCCGUGGGGGAUGUGGGUGUUUUAACACCCACACUUUUCCCGGUGAGAGGGUUCAACACCCACACUUUUUAUGCAGUUUUUCAAGAACGCCUUAUUAAGUCGCUCCUCCGUUUCUCUGGCCGCUCUCUGUCUGCUGCGCUGCGCUGCUUCCUCUCCCCCUCCCCUCUCAAACAUGACGCCGGCUUUGAGUGUUACCGGCUGAUGAUUGGCUGUUCUGCCUUAAGUCCCGCCUCUCUUGGUGGGUUAGAUUGAUCGGUCAGCUCGCGCUGAGGAGGCGGGAACUUAUGUUUAUUUACAUCUCCCUUUUUCAGUAUCAAUAAGAUACAGAAAAGAAAGAGGCAGGAGAAGAUUGACACCUUUUUCAAGAGAAAUCCUGAGAUGAGGUUGCUGGAGGCAUCAGUUUAAAGAGAGAGAGAGACACAUAAAGUUUCACAGGUGUGCAAUGAAAAAUGAAUGUUACAGUUUGUGAAAGAGGUCUAUGAAGGAAGAGAGCGUGUGUUUGUGUCAUGGGUGGUGCUUAAUUCCAUCCCAGGUGCACAUACGCCUGUUUCUGGUGUGUUUAUAUCAAAUUUAAAAUGAUAUAUAUCCAUCCCCCACACUUUUAAAAAGCUUGC